UUCGAUGAUGAUAAUAUGUUACAUGUUGCUUGAAGACAGUCCGAUGGGCUGGCACUGUGGGCACAAUGAUUUCUCAAUAGACUACAACGGUAUCUGAGU
RNAcentral lists this small nucleolar RNA (99 nucleotides) under Nakaseomyces glabratus. RNAcentral's name for it is "Candida glabrata Small nucleolar RNA snR79". It matches the Rfam family "Small nucleolar RNA snR79". The record is from Rfam by way of RNAcentral. Lineage: Eukaryota; Fungi; Ascomycota; Saccharomycetes; Saccharomycetales; Saccharomycetaceae.